Molecule: ribosomal RNA, 497 nt
Filed under: uncultured bacterium
Lineage: Bacteria
Description: partial 16S ribosomal RNA
Rfam family: Bacterial small subunit ribosomal RNA
Source: RNAcentral
GAUGAACGCUGGCGGCGUGCCUAAUACAUGCAAGUCGAGCGAACAGACGAGGCGCUUGCUCCUCGGACGUUAGCGGCGCAGGUGUGAGUAACACGUGGAUAACCUACCUAUAUGACUGGUAUCACUUCGGGAAACCGGAUCUAAUACCAGAGAAUAUAUUGAACCGCAUGGUUCAUUAGUGAAAGACGGUUUUUCUGUCACUACUAGCUGCUUACGCGCCGUAUUGGCUGGUUGUUCAGGUCACGGCCUAUCAAGGCGAGGAGGCGUAUCCGACCUGUGAGGCGGGUAGCCGACACGGGAGCUGAGACGCGGUCCAGACGACUACGGGAGGCAGCAGUCGGGAACCUUCCGCAAUGGGCGGAAGCCUGACGGAGCAACGCCGCGUGAGUGACGAAGGUGUUCGGAUCGUAAAGCCGUCUUACUAGGGAUGAACAGCUGUGUAAUUAAAUAUGGCCGUAUUGACGGUACCUGAUAAGAAAGCCACGGCUAACUACGUG